UACGGAGGGUGCAAACGUUGCUCGGAAUCAUUGGGCGUAAAGCGCGUGUAGGCGGCUAGUUAAGUUGAGUGUGAAAGCCCUAGGCUUAACCUAGGAAGUGCGCUCAAAACUGAUUGGCUAGAGUACGGGAGAGGGUAGUGGAAUUCCCGGUGUAGAGGUGAAAUUCGUAGAUAUCGGGAGGAACACCAGUGGCGAAGGCGGCUACCUGGACCGAUACUGACGCUGAGACGCGAAAGCGUGGGUAGCAAACAGG
This 253-nucleotide ribosomal RNA is filed under the name uncultured prokaryote. RNAcentral describes it as "partial 16S ribosomal RNA". It matches the Rfam family "Bacterial small subunit ribosomal RNA", at positions 524 to 776 of the family's 1533-position model. The record is from RNAcentral.